CAGAAUCAUAUACCAAAGCUCUCUUGCUCAACUUUUGCUGUCCUUUUUCGACAAGUUUUCAGAUAUUAGAACUUCUGGUUCAGAUUAUAGAAUCUCGACAUAUGAAGGACGACAAAAAAGCCAUCAUUUUUGUAGAUCGCUGCCCCUGAUUAUAGAGGAUCCUUUCAAGCG
This is a long non-coding RNA of Zingiber officinale, 171 nucleotides long. RefSeq lists it as uncharacterized. Lineage: Eukaryota; Viridiplantae; Streptophyta; Magnoliopsida; Zingiberales; Zingiberaceae. The record is from RefSeq and is a predicted model, not a curated record. The transcript has 3 exons.